GGAGCUCAAGUUCCAAUUGGUCCGAAAUCUAUCCACCAUACUUGCUUAGAUUUCCUCUGCAGAUUUCAUUAUCCAACAUGGCUCCUCUCAAACUCACCUUUUAGAUACUCUCACUGCCUUCAAAACACACCCAUCUGUCCUUAUUUAUUUUAAUCACCAAAAGAUAAACAAAUAUGCUUGCUGCAGACAUGGCUGCUACUAGUGGUGCUGUCCUAAAUGGAUUGGGAUCUUCCUUCUUGUGUGGA
This 245-nucleotide unclassified non-coding RNA is filed under the name Hevea brasiliensis (rubber tree). Lineage: Eukaryota; Viridiplantae; Streptophyta; Magnoliopsida; Malpighiales; Euphorbiaceae. The record is from RNAcentral.